AUUGAACGCUGGCGGCAUGCUUUACACAUGCAAGUCGGACGCGUGGCGCACGGGUGAGUAACGCAUCGGAACGUCCCGCGUAAUGGGGGAUAACUGUCCUACAGGACAGCUAAUACCGCAUAUUAUUCGAGCGGCCGAUGUCUGAUUCGCUGGUUGGCGGGGUAAAGGCCCACCAAGGCGACGAUCAGUAGCGGGUCUGAGAGGAUGAUCCGCCACACUGGGAAUGAGACACGUCCCAGACUCCUACGGGAGGCAGCAGUGGGGAAUUUUGGACAAUGGGCGCAAGCCUGAUCCAGCCAUGCCGCGUGUAUGAAGAAGGCCUUCGGGUUGUAAAGGACUUUGGUCAGGGAAGCGGUACCUGAAGAAGAAGCACCGGCUAACUACGUGACAGCAGCCGAGGUAAGUCC
This 407-nucleotide ribosomal RNA is filed under the name uncultured bacterium. RNAcentral describes it as "partial 16S ribosomal RNA". It matches the Rfam family "Bacterial small subunit ribosomal RNA", at positions 30 to 527 of the family's 1533-position model. The record is from RNAcentral.